GAUUAACGCUAGCGGCAGGCCUAAUACAUGCAAGUCGAACGGGAUUCAAAGUAGCAAUAUUUUGAUGAGAGUGGCGCACGGGUGAGUAACACGUAUGCAAUUUACCUUUAACUGGGGGAUAGCCCUCCGAAAGGAGGAUUGAUACCGCAUAAUAUAUUGAAAUGGCAUCAUUUUAAUAUUAAACCUACGGGGGUUAAAGAUGAGCAUGCAUCCGAUUAGCUAGUUGGUGUGGUAACGGCUCACCAAGGCAACGAUCGGUAGGGGGUCUGAGAGGAUGAUCCCCCACACUGGUACUGAGACACGGACCAGACUCCUACGGGAGGCAGCAGUAAGGAAUAUUGGACAAUGGAGGCAACUCUGAUCCAGCCAUGCCGCGUGAAGGAUUAAGGCCCUAUGGGUUGUAAACUUCUUUUAGACGGGACAAAACCCCUUUACGUGUAAAGGGUCGAUGGUACUGUCAGAAUAAGCAUCGGCUAACUUCGUGCCAGCAGCCGCGGUAAAGUAUCG
This 507-nucleotide ribosomal RNA is filed under the name uncultured bacterium. RNAcentral describes it as "bacterial SSU rRNA". It matches the Rfam family "Bacterial small subunit ribosomal RNA", at positions 28 to 530 of the family's 1533-position model. The record is from RNAcentral.